Long non-coding RNA from Neofelis nebulosa (Clouded leopard), 2006 nucleotides. RefSeq lists it as uncharacterized. The transcript has 2 exons. Lineage: Eukaryota; Metazoa; Chordata; Mammalia; Carnivora; Felidae. The record is from RefSeq and is a predicted model, not a curated record.
CCACCAGCAGCACGGUGCUGAAAGACAGGCACAGCCCUGGGGAGUCAGACACACCUGGGCCAGAACACUCAUCUUAGUGACAUAGGCCAGUUCUUUAACCUCUCUAGGACUCAGUUUCCUCAUCUGUGACUCAGGACUAAUUCCCUCAGGAAAGACUACGCACAAUCCCCGGUAACAGGAAUAGUUCCCUCACCUGUUUCAUUGGUUCCUCCACGUACGUGAGUACUCAACGUUCACCCGUUCUCGUCCACAUCCCUCCUUCUGUGGCUCCUGCUCAAAUGCUGACUUCGGCCUCUCUCUCACUCUGAGCCUGGGAAACAACCUUGCUGCUCUGGGAAAUCACCCACCUCUGACUUCUGAGCCUGGGGGUACGUCUUGCUUCAGUACCUCAGAGACCAGACCUGCCACUUGGUUGCUCUGCAUUUGGGUAUGGGAGGCGAGGGUCUUUCUUCUUGUGCUGGGCCAGGUCUGGCCCUUCAACUACUUGCUGCUUCCGGCCUCUCAGCGGAUUUUGCACCACACUUUCUGGCAGGUGAGGCCACCAGUACUCCGCCUACGGUUUUACCUGACACUGCCUUUUUUACAUGAGGAUGAACCACAAUACUGUUCAGAGCUGUCUUCUGGUGGGCAUUAGGUAAAAACAACCACUAUCAAAGGAGUUAAAUCUCAGGCUUAGAGCAUGGUGGAUUUGUAGUAGUGAUAGUCCCCAAUUUGUUCACGCUUUUCUGUAUCCAUGGCCUGUGUUGUUUCCUCCCACAUGGACUCUAGGCUUGGACAAGGUAUUUACUUCAGCCAGUGGAGACAACAGUAACAGCUAUAAGAAGAGGCUUGAGAAGUACUUAUGCACUGGGGCCUGUCCUCCUUUGCUGCUCCUGGAACACUGUGGCCACCAUGGAAAGACACCCGGCUACCAGCUGUCUUCCUGGAGGCCGUGAGAGACCACAUGGAACCAAAGCAAGGGGUCCCCGCUGAGGUUCUCUUCAAACAACCAGCCUGCCCAUCACCACACAUGUGAGCAAGGCCAGCCUGGCCAUGCCACCAGCAGAUGGAUACGAAGAAAGUCAGCACAGACUAAAGACUGCAUGGCCAACCCACAGAUCAAAAGCAAAUUUAAUGGUUGCUGUUUUAAGCCACUCCGUUUUGGGACUUGAUACAAAACGAAAGCUAAUUGAUACGACAAAGAAGAAAUGCCUUGCGUCUUUCCUAGGGAUUUCUAAGCCAGGCUCUAGAGCUCCAUAUCGUCAUCUGCAGGAAGCACACGCAAAGCUCCACUUGCCUACAUUCCUCAAUAUGCUGCGUGCUUUUUCAGAAAGGUCUAUAUUUAGUUCCAGAUUUAAAAUACUGAGGAUGUGUCGCGUUAACCAGAUGGCAGGGAUUGUGUAACUGCCUGACUGCUUCUAGUUUUUAGGCUACUGACAUUCUCUACAUAUCUGUAGCUUUUCCAUUUGAUGACACGGGCCUCAAUCUGGGAACACCCUCGCUUCCCCCCCGAAUGCUCUCAGGAUUUCUGCACCCUCCCUCUCUGACUCUCCUAUGGCACCACCACCAAAUGCAAAUGCCAGGGAUGUGGUCAGAGUCUCAUUACUUCCACUUGUGCUGGGGACAGGCCUGGUGUGAUCACCGCCCGGGGGGUUGUGCACAAAGCCUGGAGGGAAGGGGUGGCAACAUCCAGCCCCAGGAAGAACACAUGCCUUCUUCUGGGGCUUAUUUUCCUAGAAAACUUGGAGAGGAAGGUCAUGUUUUGUUCUCAAUUUUUAUUAGAUUUUUAAAAAUAUUUAUUUUUGAGAGAGAGAGAGAGAGAGAGAGAGAGAGCAAGCAGAGGAGGGGCAGAGAGAGAGGGAGACCCAGAAUCCGAAAUGAGCUCCAGGCCCUGAGCUGUCAGCACAGAGCCCCACGUGGGUAGAAGACCAUGACCUGAGCCGAUGUUGGGACGCUUAACUAAGUCGCCCAGGCACCCCUUUCUUCAUUUUUUAAAAUGGUUACAUAAACAUGGUAUCUAAAAUUCA